UUAAAUUGAAGAGUUUGAUCAUGGCUCAGAUUGAACGCUGGCGGCAGGCCUAACACAUGCAAGUCGAACGGUAACAGGAAGCAGCUUGCUGCUUUGCUGACGAGUGGCGGACGGGUGAGUAAUGUCUGGGAAACUGCCUGAUGGAGGGGGAUAACUACUGGAAACGGUAGCUAAUACCGCAUAACGUCGCAAGACCAAAGAGGGGGACCUUAGGGCCUCUUGCCAUCGGAUGUGCCCAGAUGGGAUUAGCUAGUAGGUGGGGUAACGGCUCACCUAGGCGACGAUCCCUAGCUGGUCUGAGAGGAUGACCAGCCACACUGGAACUGAGACACGGUCCAGACUCCUACGGGAGGCAGCAGUGGGGAAUAUUGCACAAUGGGCGCAAGCCUGAUGCAGCCAUGCCGCGUGUAUGAAGAAGGCCUUCGGGUUGUAAAGUACUUUCAGCGGGGAGGAAGGGAGUAAAGUUAAUACCUUUGCUCAUUGACGUUACCCGCAGAAGAAGCACCGGCUAACUCCGUGCCAGCAGCCGCGGUAAUACGGAGGGUGCAAGCGUUAAUCGGAAUUACUGGGCGUAAAGCGCACGCAGGCGGUUUGUUAAGUCAGAUGUGAAAUCCCCGGGCUCAACCUGGGAACUGCAUCUGAUACUGGCAAGCUUGAGUCUCGUAGAGGGGGGUAGAAUUCCAGGUGUAGCGGUGAAAUGCGUAGAGAUCUGGAGGAAUACCGGUGGCGAAGGCGGCCCCCUGGACGAAGACUGACGCUCAGGUGCGAAAGCGUGGGGAGCAAACAGGAUUAGAUACCCUGGUAGUCCACGCCGUAAACGAUGUCGACUUGGAGGUUGUGCCCUUGAGGCGUGGCUUCCGGAGCUAACGCGUUAAGUCGACCGCCUGGGGAGUACGGCCGCAAGGUUAAAACUCAAAUGAAUUGACGGGGGCCCGCACAAGCGGUGGAGCAUGUGGUUUAAUUCGAUGCAACGCGAAGAACCUUACCUGGUCUUGACAUCCACGGAAGUUUUCAGAGAUGAGAAUGUGCCUUCGGGAACCGUGAGACAGGUGCUGCAUGGCUGUCGUCAGCUCGUGUUGUGAAAUGUUGGGUUAAGUCCCGCAACGAGCGCAACCCUUAUCCUUUGUUGCCAGCGGUCCGGCCGGGAACUCAAAGGAGACUGCCAGUGAUAAACUGGAGGAAGGUGGGGAUGACGUCAAGUCAUCAUGGCCCUUACGACCAGGGCUACACACGUGCUACAAUGGCGCAUACAAAGAGAAGCGACCUCGCGAGAGCAAGCGGACCUCAUAAAGUGCGUCGUAGUCCGGAUUGGAGUCUGCAACUCGACUCCAUGAAGUCGGAAUCGCUAGUAAUCGUGGAUCAGAAUGCCACGGUGAAUACGUUCCCGGGCCUUGUACACACCGCCCGUCACACCAUGGGAGUGGGUUGCAAAAGAAGUAGGUAGCUUAACCUUCGGGAGGGCGCUUACCACUUUGUGAUUCAUGACUGGGGUGAAGUCGUAACAAGGUAACCGUAGGGGAACCUGCGGUUGGAUCACCUCCUUA
Molecule: ribosomal RNA, 1544 nt
Filed under: Escherichia coli APEC O1
Lineage: Bacteria; Pseudomonadati; Pseudomonadota; Gammaproteobacteria; Enterobacterales; Enterobacteriaceae
Description: 16S ribosomal RNA
Rfam family: Bacterial small subunit ribosomal RNA
Source: RNAcentral